RNAcentral lists this microRNA precursor (73 nucleotides) under Tetraodon nigroviridis (spotted green pufferfish). RNAcentral's name for it is "miRNA (ENSTNIG00000020261.1)". The record is from RNAcentral. Lineage: Eukaryota; Metazoa; Chordata; Actinopteri; Tetraodontiformes; Tetraodontidae.
GCGUGUGUGUGUGUGUGUGUGUGUGUGUGUGUGUGGUUCCAGGAGCCGUGGGAUGAGCAGCACACGCCUGCGC